This 65-nucleotide transfer RNA is filed under the name Aleeta curvicosta. RNAcentral's name for it is "tRNA-Leu". The record is from RNAcentral. Lineage: Eukaryota; Metazoa; Arthropoda; Insecta; Hemiptera; Cicadidae.
UCUAAUAUGGCAGAUGAAAGUGCAAUGAAUUUAAGAUUCAUAUAUAAAAUGAUUUUUUGUUGGAA